This 250-nucleotide ribosomal RNA is filed under the name uncultured bacterium. Its description in RNAcentral is "partial 16S ribosomal RNA". It matches the Rfam family "Bacterial small subunit ribosomal RNA", at positions 355 to 619 of the family's 1533-position model. The record is from RNAcentral.
UGGGGAAUAUUGCGCAAUGGGCGAAAGCCUGACGCAGCGACGCCGCGUGUGGGAUGAAGGUCUUCGGAUCGUAAACCACUGUCGGGGGGGACGAACUCAAUGACGGUACCCCCAAAGGAAGCACCGGCUAACUCUGUGCCAGCAGCCGCGGUAAUACAGAGGGUGCGAGCGUUGUCCGGAAUCACUGGGCGUAAAGGGCGCGUAGGCGGCCCGAUAAGUAGGGGGUGAAAUCUUGCGGCUUAACCGCAAG